AGUGAACGCUGGCGGUAGGCCUAACACAUGCAAGUCGAACGGCAGCACAGGAGAGCUUGCUCUCUGGGUGGCGAGUGGCGGACGGGUGAGGAAUACAUCGGAAUCUACUCUGUCGUGGGGGAUAACGUAGGGAAACUUACGCUAAUACCGCAUACGACCUACGGGUGAAAGCAGGGGACCUUCGGGCCUUGCGCGAUUGAAUGAGCCGAUGUCGGAUUAGCUAGUUGGCGGGGUAAAGGCCCACCAAGGCGACGAUCCGUAGCUGGUCUGAGGGGAUGAUCAGCCACACUGGAACUGAGACACGGUCCAGACUCCUACGGGAGGCAGCAGUGGGGAAUAUUGGACAAUGGGCGCAAGCCUGAUCCAGCCAUACCGCGUGGGUGAAGAAGGCCUUCGGGUUGUAAAGCCCUUUUGUUGGGAAAGAAAUCCAGCUGGCUAAUACCCGGUUGGGAUGACGGUACCCAAAGGAUAAGCACCGGCUAACUUCGUGCCAGCCGCCACAGUAA
This 506-nucleotide ribosomal RNA is filed under the name uncultured bacterium. RNAcentral's name for it is "partial 16S ribosomal RNA". It matches the Rfam family "Bacterial small subunit ribosomal RNA", at positions 29 to 523 of the family's 1533-position model. The record is from RNAcentral.